This 575-nucleotide ribosomal RNA is filed under the name Pediococcus pentosaceus. RNAcentral's name for it is "bacterial SSU rRNA". It matches the Rfam family "Bacterial small subunit ribosomal RNA", at positions 78 to 642 of the family's 1533-position model. The record is from RNAcentral. Lineage: Bacteria; Bacillati; Bacillota; Bacilli; Lactobacillales; Lactobacillaceae.
UUUUAACACGAAGUGAGUGGCGAACGGGUGAGUAACACGUGGGUAACCUGCCCAGAAGUAGGGGAUAACACCUGGAAACAGAUGCUAAUACCGUAUAACAGAGAAAACCGCAUGGUUUUCUUUUAAAAGAUGGCUCUGCUAUCACUUCUGGAUGGACCCGCGGCGUAUUAGCUAGUUGGUGAGGUAAAGGCUCACCAAGGCAGUGAUACGUAGCCGACCUGAGAGGGUAAUCGGCCACAUUGGGACUGAGACACGGCCCAGACUCCUACGGGAGGCAGCAGUAGGGAAUCUUCCACAAUGGACGCAAGUCUGAUGGAGCAACGCCGCGUGAGUGAAGAAGGGUUUCGGCUCGUAAAGCUCUGUUGUUAAAGAAGAACGUGGGUAAGAGUAACUGUUUACCCAGUGACGGUAUUUAACCAGAAAGCCACGGCUAACUACGUGCCAGCAGCCGCGGUAAUACGUAGGUGGCAAGCGUUAUCCGGAUUUAUUGGGCGUAAAGCGAGCGCAGCGGUCUUUUAAGUCUAAUGUGAAAGCCUUCGGCUCAACCGAAGAAGUGCAUUGGAAACUGGGAGACU